This 430-nucleotide ribosomal RNA is filed under the name uncultured bacterium. RNAcentral describes it as "partial 16S ribosomal RNA". It matches the Rfam family "Bacterial small subunit ribosomal RNA", at positions 355 to 775 of the family's 1533-position model. The record is from RNAcentral.
UAGGGAAUCUUCGGCAAUGGACGAAAGUCUGACCGAGCAACGCCGCGUGAGUGAAGAAGGUUUUCGGAUCGUAAAACUCUGUUGGUAGAGAAGAACGUUGGUGAGAGUGGAAAGCUCAUCAAGUGACGGUAACUACCCAGAAAGGGACGGCUAACUACGUGCCAGCAGCCGCGGUAAUACGUAGGUCCCGAGCGUUGUCCGGAUUUAUUGGGCGUAAAGCGAGCGCAGGUGGUUUAUUAAGUCUGGUGUAAAAGGCAGUGGCUCAACCAUUGUAUGCAUUGGAAACUGGUAGACUUGAGUGCAGGAGAGGAGAGUGGAAUUCCAUGUGUAGCGGUGAAAUGCGUAGAUAUAUGGAGGAACACCGGUGGCGAAAAGCGGCUCUCUGGCCUGUAACUGACACUGAGGCUCGAAAGCGUGGGGGAGCAAAACA